RNAcentral lists this ribosomal RNA (444 nucleotides) under uncultured bacterium. RNAcentral's name for it is "partial 16S ribosomal RNA". It matches the Rfam family "Bacterial small subunit ribosomal RNA", at positions 354 to 796 of the family's 1533-position model. The record is from RNAcentral.
GUAGGGAAUAUUGGGCAAUGGUCGGAAGACUGACCCAGCCAUGCCGCGUGCAGGAAGACGGCCCUCUGGGUUGUAAACUGCUUUUAUCUGGGAAGAAAAAGGCCAUGCGUGGCAAAUUGCCGGUACCAGAUGAAUAAGCACCGGCUAACUCCGUGCCAGCAGCCGCGGUAAUACGGAGGGUGCGAGCGUUGUCCGGAUUUAUUGGGUUUAAAGGGUGCGUAGGCGGCUGAUUAAGUCAGCGGUGAAAGACUUCGGCUUAACCGGAGCAGUGCCGGUGAUACUGGUUGGCUUGAGUGUCGGAGGGGUACAUGGAAUUGAUGGUGUAGCGGUGAAAUGCAUAGAUACCAUCAGGAACACCGAUAGCGAAGGCAUUGUACUGGCCGACAACUGACGCUGAUGCACGAAAGUGUGGGGAUCGAACAGGAUUAGAAACCCUUGUAGUCC